UUUAGACCAAGUGUUGAACUUAUGAUCCAUAUGAGGGAAGAUCUACAUGAUAUAUGAUAUUUUAUGGUUAGAUCUUGCCAUUUUUAGGGUUGAUAAGCUUGAACAAAGAAGAUGAACCAAAACAGUUUUUUUGUUUUAAAUGAAUUAGUGGACUGCUGCCCUAAACAGAAAAUUUCGGAUUUGUUAGGGUGCUCUAAAAAUUCUGGACUUGUGAUAUGUUAUAGUACACUCAAUAAGCUUUCCAUAGACUCCGAAACGGACUAAAUCCGACAUCGGAGGAGCAAGUUAUGGGAUUUCUACCAAACUACACAAAGUUAAGAAAAACUGUUAGAAGGACAGUUUGUAACAGCCACUUCCGGGCUAAAUUCCGGGAGCUUAACAUAUCCAAAUAUGGAUUGUGAUAUAUGAAAACUAUAGUUCGGAAAGAUACGAAUCCAACAAAAUUGACGGAUCAUUAAUCGGAGUUACAGAUUUCGUUUUAUUUAAGUUUUGGUGAAGGACUCCAAAACUGCCAAAGUGCAAAAAGUUUCUGGCCAAAAUUUUCCGAGGGCUGUUUUGGACAUUUAGUUAAUGAGAAAAAUUACAGGCUUUUGGGAAAUGAAAAUAUAUGGUAAUAUGUAGCUCGUGUCCAAAAAUGAGCUAAUUCCGGCUUAAAACGACCAAGUUAUGACCAUUUCAAUUUUUGUGAUUUUCCGACGGAAAUCGCUAUAACCGGAGUUCUACAACUCCGAUUGCCACGAAAUUUAAAAUGGAGC
Molecule: long non-coding RNA, 755 nt
Filed under: Panax ginseng (ginseng)
Lineage: Eukaryota; Viridiplantae; Streptophyta; Magnoliopsida; Apiales; Araliaceae
Description: long non-coding RNA (PGIN_LNC003368)
Source: RNAcentral